Molecule: long non-coding RNA, 675 nt
Organism: Lycium ferocissimum
Lineage: Eukaryota; Viridiplantae; Streptophyta; Magnoliopsida; Solanales; Solanaceae
Exons: 2
Source: RefSeq, a predicted model, not a curated record
ACCCUCUUUCUAAUCCAAUCCAUUCCUCUCUCACGUAUUCUUCCAUUUAUUUUCAGUUUCCCUGCUCAAAUAACUCCUCUCUCAGUAUUCUUCCUCCACUUCACUAAACUAGAAUUAGAAUAACCGAUUUAAAGCGCCUUGAUCCAAUAAACUGACCCAAAUGGCUGAGGCUUUAGUGAAAUUAGGAAUAUAAAUGAUUAGCCCCUCCACUGAAUCUAAUAAAUAAUGCUUCCAUUCCAAUGCGUCUUCCUCCAUUUGCCUUUAAUCGUGUCACCAUUAAAUUCCGACGGUAUCAUAUUUUUGCACUCUACUAAAAUCAAGCUUUCUUUUAAAUGGAAAAGGAUUACAGUAAACACGUAAGGAGUCCACCUCUUAAGUAAGUUCGUUGUCGUCAAUGAGCCAUAUCUUGAAUAUAGCGUUAAAUUUUGAGACCUUUCAUUGUUGGAAAAUCCGUUUAUGAAAUUAUCUUAAUUUUGCAGUAUAGCAUUUUUAAACCUUCCAUUGCUGGAACAUGAAUUUGUGAAGAUUUAAGGGAUAAUUGCAGGUAUUAUUAGCAUCUUAGGGAUUUCAUUGCAAGUUUUCGCUAUGAAGGUCAGGCCUUAUCUUCUAUGGUCCAAUUGUUAUAUUAGUCGCUCUAAUUAAUUUACGCGCAUAUGAUGCAAUGCUCUGCAAAUA